This 1358-nucleotide ribosomal RNA is filed under the name metagenome. RNAcentral's name for it is "bacterial LSU rRNA". It matches the Rfam family "Bacterial large subunit ribosomal RNA", at positions 1582 to 2925 of the family's 2925-position model. The record is from RNAcentral.
UAGGUGAAGUCAAUGAUCCCAUGCUGCCAAGAAAAGCCUCUAGCGAGCUUCGAGCGGCCCGUACCCCAAACCGACACAGGUGGUCAGGUAGAGAAUACCGAGGCGAUCGGGCGAACUGUGGUUAAGGAACUCGGCAAAUUACCCCCGUAACUUCGGGAGAAGGGGGGCCACAGACUGUCAUACCCCACGCGGGUGGCAGCAGUAGGUGGCCGCAGAGACCAGGGGGAAGCGACUGUUUACUAAAAACACAGGUCCGUGCGAAGUCGUAAGACGAUGUAUACGGACUGACGCCUGCCCGGUGCUGGAACGUUAAGGGGACCGGUUAGUCCGCAAGGGCGAAGCUGAGAACUUAAGCGCCAGUAAACGGCGGUGGUAACUAUAACCAUCCUAAGGUAGCGAAAUUCCUUGUCGGGUAAGUUCCGACCUGCACGAAUGGCGUAACGACUUCCCUACUGUCUCAACCACAGGCCCGGCGAAAUUGCACUACGAGUAAAGAUGCUCGUUACGCGCGGAAGGACGGAAAGACCCCGGGACCUUCACUAUAGCUUGACAUUGGUAUCCGAAUUUAAUUGUGUAGGAUAGGUGGGAGGCUUUGAUCCGCGGACGCCAGUCCGUCGGGGAGCCAACGUUGAAAUACCACUCUGUUGAAUUUGGGUAUCUAACUUCGGACCGUGAUCCGGUUCAGGGACAGUGUCUGGUGGGUAGUUUAACUGGGGCGGUUGCCUCCUAAAAUGUAACGGAGGCGCCCAAAGGUUCCCUCAGCCUGGUUGGCAAUCAGGUGUUGAGUGCAAGUGCACAAGGGAGCUUGACUGUGAGACUGACAGGUCGAGCAGGGACGAAAGUCGGGACUAGUGAUCCGGCACCUGCGAGUGGAAGCGGUGUCGCUCAACGGAUAAAAGGUACCCCGGGGAUAACAGGCUGAUCUUCCCCAAGAGUCCAUAUCGACGGGAUGGUUUGGCACCUCGAUGUCGGCUCGUCGCAUCCUGGGGCUGGAGUAGGUCCCAAGGGUUGGGCUGUUCGCCCAUUAAAGCGGCACGCGAGCUGGGUUUAGAACGUCGUGAGACAGUUCGGUCCCUAUCCUCCGCGCGCGUAGGAGACUUGAGAAGAGCUGUCCCUAGUACGAGAGGACCGGGACGGACGAACCUCUGGUGUGCCAGUUGUCAUGCCAAUGGCACGGCUGGUUAGCUACGUUCGGAAGGGAUAACCGCUGAAAGCAUCUAAGCGGGAAGCUCGCUUCAAGAUGAGGUCUCCCACCCCUUCGAGGGUUAAGGCCCCCAGCUAGACCACUGGGUUGAUAGGCCAGAAGUGUAAGCCUGGUAACAGGUUCAGCCGACUGGUACUAAUAGGCCGAGGACUUC